AUUGAACGCUGGCGGCAUGCCUUACACAUGCAAGUCGAACGGUAACAGGUCUUCGGAUGCUGACGAGUGGCGAACGGGUGAGUAAUACAUCGGAACGUGCCUAGUAGUGGGGGAUAACUACUCGAAAGAGUGGCUAAUACCGCAUGAGAUCUACGGAUGAAAGCAGGGGAUCGCAAGACCUUGUGCUACUAGAGCGGCCGAUGGCAGAUUAGGUAGUUGGUGGGAUAAAAGCUUACCAAGCCGACGAUCUGUAGCUGGUCCGAGAGGACGAUCAGCCACACUGGGACUGAGACACGGCACAGACUCCUACGGGAGGCAGCAGUGGGGAAUUUUGGACAAUGGGCGAAAGCCUGAUUCAGCAAUGCCGCGUGCAGGAUGAAGGCCUUCGGGUUGUAAACUGCUUUUGUACGGAACGAAAAGCCCCGGGUUAAUACCCUGGGGUCAUGACGGUACCGUAAGAGUAAGCACCGGCUAACUACGUGCCAGCCGCCGCGGUAA
RNAcentral lists this ribosomal RNA (498 nucleotides) under uncultured bacterium. Its description in RNAcentral is "partial 16S ribosomal RNA". It matches the Rfam family "Bacterial small subunit ribosomal RNA", at positions 30 to 523 of the family's 1533-position model. The record is from RNAcentral.